GGCCCCGUAGUUCAAUGGAUAGAAUGUCAGAUUCCGGUUCUGUUGGUUGGGAGUUCGAGUCUCCCCGGGGUCA
This 73-nucleotide transfer RNA is filed under the name Bacteroidales bacterium. RNAcentral's name for it is "tRNA-Arg". It matches the Rfam family "tRNA". Rfam says of the family: Transfer RNA (tRNA) molecules are approximately 80 nucleotides in length. Their secondary structure includes four short double-helical elements and three loops (D, anti-codon, and T loops). Lineage: Bacteria; Pseudomonadati; Bacteroidota; Bacteroidia; Bacteroidales. The record is from RNAcentral.